ACGAACGCUGGCGGCAUGCCUAACACAUGCAAGUCGAACGAAGGCUUCGGCCUUAGUGGCGCACGGGUGCGUAACGCGUGGGAAUCUGCCCUUUGCUUCGGAAUAACAGUUAGAAAUGACUGCUAAUACCGGAUGAUGUCGCAAGGCCAAAGAUUUAUCGGCAAAGGAUGAGCCCGCGUAGGAUUAGCUAGUUGGUGGGGUAAAGGCCUACCAAGGCGACGAUCCUUAGCUGGUCUGAGAGGAUGAUCAGCCACACUGGGACUGAGACACGGCCCAGACUCCUACGGGAGGCAGCAGUGGGGAAUAUUGGACAAUGGGCGAAAGCCUGAUCCAGCAAUGCCGCGUGAGUGAUGAAGGCCUUAGGGUUGUAAAGCUCUUUUACCCGGGAUGAUAAUGACAGUACCGGGAGAAUAAGCUCCGGCUAACUCCGUG
Molecule: ribosomal RNA, 432 nt
Filed under: uncultured bacterium
Lineage: Bacteria
Description: partial 16S ribosomal RNA
Rfam family: Bacterial small subunit ribosomal RNA
Source: RNAcentral